GCCACUCAGGUUCUUCAGUUGCAGAAGAUUUACGCAUUGGGAAUAUUCCCCUCUCAUGUACAAGUUGUUGAAGAAGGGUUUGCCACUCACUUUCAGCGUGGAGAACCCAUCCAUAUUUAUCUUGGCGGACAACUCUCAACUCAGUAGACAUUGCAUCACGAACCAUUUCCAAUGCAUAUCUCCGUUCAGUUACCUGUUCCCAAUGUCGAAGAUCUAGCUUCAAAAUGUCUCGUGACCUUCUCCCCAU
RNAcentral lists this unclassified non-coding RNA (247 nucleotides) under Hevea brasiliensis (rubber tree). The record is from RNAcentral. Lineage: Eukaryota; Viridiplantae; Streptophyta; Magnoliopsida; Malpighiales; Euphorbiaceae.